This 2915-nucleotide ribosomal RNA is filed under the name Salinisphaera orenii subsp. orenii MK-B5. RNAcentral describes it as "23S ribosomal RNA". It matches the Rfam family "Bacterial large subunit ribosomal RNA". The record is from RNAcentral. Lineage: Bacteria; Pseudomonadati; Pseudomonadota; Gammaproteobacteria; Salinisphaerales; Salinisphaeraceae.
GUUAUAUGACCAAGUAACCAAGCGCACAUGGUGGAUGCCUUGGCGACAGAAGGCGAUGAAGGACGUAAAAGCCUGCGAUAAGCUUCGGUGAGUCGGCAAAUAGACUUUGACCCGGAGAUUUCCGAAUGGGGAAACCCACCUGCUAAGGCAGGUAUUCCGUGGUGAAUACAUAGCCGCGGAAGGCAAACCCGGGGAACUGAAACAUCUAAGUACCCGGAGGAAAAGAAAUCAAUUGAGAUUCCCUGAGUAGCGGCGAGCGAAACGGGACUAGCCCUUAAGCCCAUCAAGUCUUAGUGGAAGUGCUCAGGAAUGACACGCCAUAGAGGGUGAAAGCCCCGUACACGAAAAGACUUGUUAGGUGAAAUCGAGUAGGACGGAGCACGUGUAACUCUGUUCGAACAUGGGGGGACCAUCCUCCAAGGCUAAAUACUCUCUGUCGACCGAUAGUGAACCAGUACCGUGAGGGAAAGGCGAAAAGAACCCCGGUGAGGGGAGUGAAAUAGAACCUGAAACCGUGUGCGUACAAGCAGUCAGAGCCUGUCUUAGGACGGGUGAUGGCGUACCUUUUGUAUAAUGGGUCAGCGACUUACUUCUCAGUAGCAAGCUUAACCGUAUAGGGGAAGCGCAGGGAAACCGAGUCCGAACAGGGCGAUCAGUUGCUGGGAGUAGACCCGAAACCGGGCGAUCUAUCCAUGGCCAGGGUGAAGGUCGGGUAACACCGACUGGAGGCCCGAACUCACUAAUGUUGAAAAAUUAGGAGAUGAGCUGUGGAUAGGAGUGAAAGGCUAAUCAAGCCCGGAGAUAGCUGGUUCUCCUCGAAAGCUAUUUAGGUAGCGCCUCGUGUAUCACUGCCGGGGGUAGAGCACUGUUUCGACUAGGGGGUCCAUAAGGAUUUACCAAAUCGAGGCAAACUCCGAAUACCGGCAAGUGCAAUCACGGGAGACACACUGCGAGAGCUAACUUCCGUAGUGGAAAGGGAAACAACCCAGACCGCCAGCUAAGGUCCCCAAGUCAUGGCUAAGUGGCAAACGAUGUGGGAAGGCAGAGACAGUCAGGAGGUUGGCUUAGAAGCAGCCAUCCUUUAAAGAAAGCGUAAUAGCUCACUGAUCUAGUCGGCCCGCGCGGAAGAUAUAACGGGGCUAAAGCCAUGCACCGAAGCUGCGGACUUGUAAUUUAUUGCAAGUGGUAGAGGAGCGUUCCGUAGGCCGUGAAGGUGUGCCGUGAGGCAUGCUGGAGGUAUCGGAAGUGCGAAUGCUGACGUGAGUAACGAUAAGGAAGGUGAAAAACCUUCCCGCCGAAAAUCCAAGGGUUCCUGCGCAACGCUAUUCGGCGCAGGGUGAGUCGGCUCCUAAGGCGAGGCCGAAAGGCGUAGUCGAUGGGAAACGGGUUAAUAUUCCCGUACCUCGCACAACUGCGAUGGGGUGACGAAGAAAGUUAGGUCGGCCGGGCGAUGGUUGUCCCGGUUUAAGCAUGUAGGCAGGGUCUCUAGGCAAAUCCGGAGGCUCAAUGCCGAGAUGCGAUGACGAGCUCUCAAGAGAGCGAAGUGACCGAUACUCUGCUUCCAGGAAAAACCUCUAAGCUUCAGGUUGUGCGGACCGUACCCCAAACCAACACAGGUGGAUAAGGUGAGAAUCCUAAGGCGUAUGAGACAACUCGGGUGAAGGAACUCGGCAAAAUGGCACCGUAACUUCGGGAGAAGGUGCGCCCCCAGUAGGUGAAGCCCCUCGCGGGCCGAGCUGGACGGGGCCGCAGAGACCAGGUGGCUGCGACUGUUUACUAAAAACACAGCACUCUGCUAACACGUAAGUGGAUGUAUAGGGUGUGACGCCUGCCCGGUGCCGGAAGGUUAAGUGAUGGGGUUAGUCUUCGGACGAAGCUCUUGAUCGAAGCCCCGGUAAACGGCGGCCGUAACUAUAACGGUCCUAAGGUAGCGAAAUUCCUUGUCGGGUAAGUUCCGACCUGCACGAAUGGCGUAACGAUGGCCACACUGUCUCCACCCGAGACUCAGUGAAAUCGAAAUUGCUGUGAAGAUGCAGUGUUCCUGCGGCAAGACGGAAAGACCCCGUGCACCUUUACUAUAGCUUUACACUGGAUUUUGAACAUUUUUGUGUAGGAUAGGCGGGAGGCUUUGAAACGUUGGCGCUAGCCAGCGUGGAGCCACCCUUGAAAUACCGCCCUGAAAUGUUUGAGGUUCUAACCUAGGCCCAUUAUCUGGGCCAGGGACAGUGUAUGGUGGGUAGUUUGACUGGGGCGGUCUCCUCCCAAAGAGUAACGGAGGAGUGCAAAGGUACCCUCAGCGCGGUCGGAAAUCGCGCAACGAGUGCAAAGGCAAAAGGGUGCUUGACUGUGAGACCGACGGGUCGAGCAGGUACGAAAGUAGGUCUUAGUGAUCCGGUGGUUCUGUAUGGAAGGGCCAUCGCUCAACGGAUAAAAGGUACGCCGGGGAUAACAGGCUGAUUCCUCCCAAGAGUCCACAUCGACGGAGGAGUUUGGCACCUCGAUGUCGGCUCAUCACAUCCUGGGGCUGAAGCAGGUCCCAAGGGUAUGGCUGUUCGCCAUUUAAAGUGGUACGCGAGCUGGGUUUAGAACGUCGUGAGACAGUUCGGUCCCUAUCUGCCGUAGGCGUUCGAGAUUUGAGAGGAUCUGUCCUUAGUACGAGAGGACCGGGAUGGACGCACCUCUGGUGUUCCGGUUGUCACGCCAGUGGCACUGCCGGGUAGCUACGUGCGGAAGGGAUAAGCGCUGAAAGCAUCUAAGCGCGAAGCCCACCUCAAGAUGAGAUCUCGCUAGCCCCUUGAGGGCUCUUAAGGGUCGUCCAAGACGAGGACGUUGAUAGGCCAGAUGUGUAAGCACGGCAACGUGUUCAGCUUACUGGUACUAAUUGCCCGUGAGACUUGGUCAUAUAACGCUCAAGC